UGUUCAAGUGGGAACUUGCUGAG
RNAcentral lists this non-coding RNA (23 nucleotides) under Cricetulus griseus (Chinese hamster). Lineage: Eukaryota; Metazoa; Chordata; Mammalia; Rodentia; Cricetidae. The record is from RNAcentral.